GACUUGGUAAGAACGGG
RNAcentral lists this transfer RNA (17 nucleotides) under Trachylepis damarana (Damara skink). Its description in RNAcentral is "partial tRNA-Tyr". Lineage: Eukaryota; Metazoa; Chordata; Lepidosauria; Squamata; Scincidae. The record is from RNAcentral.